GAUGAACGCUGGCGGCGUGCCUAAUACAUGCAAGUCGAGCGAACGGACGAGAAGCUUGCUUUUCUGAUGUUAGCGGAGGACGGGUGAGUAACACGUGUAUAAUCUACCUAUAAGACUGGGAUAACUUCGGGAAACCGGAGCUAAUACCGGAUAAUAUUUUGAACCGCAUGGUUCAAAAGUGAAAUACGGUCUUGCUGUCACUAAUAGAUGGAUCUGAGCUGCAUUAGCUAGUUGGUAAGGUAACGGCUUAGCAAGGCAACGAUGCAUAGCCGAACUGAGAGGGUGGUCGGCCACACGGGAACUGAGACAGCGUCCAGACGCCUACGAGAGGCAGCAGAAGCCAAUCGGACGCAAUAGUGGAGAGCCUUGCAGAGCAACGCCGCGUGAGUUGUGAAGGUGUUGGGAGCGUAAAAAUCUGUUAUUAGUGAAGAACAUAUGUGGAAGGAGAUGUGGAGAGAUUGACGGUACCGAAUAAGAAAGCCACGGCUAACUACGUG
This 497-nucleotide ribosomal RNA is filed under the name uncultured bacterium. RNAcentral's name for it is "partial 16S ribosomal RNA". It matches the Rfam family "Bacterial small subunit ribosomal RNA", at positions 28 to 507 of the family's 1533-position model. The record is from RNAcentral.